AAAGGUUCAGAAGAACAUUAAACCAUGUCACAUUGGUUCAGAUAGAGAAGAAUUUUGUCAGAGCAUACAUGCUGAAUUUAAGAAGAGAAUUGAAAGAGAGGUAGAAAUUGGAAAAGUCAAGUCUAUGAUGGCAGAAGUCUAUCAGGAAUUAAAGUUGAAAGUGCCUGUUGUCCUGAGUGUGUCAAAUCCCCUUGAAGAUGCUCAUCAUGCAAAUCUGAAAGAAUAUAUUGAGACAAAACAAGGCAAGAAA
Molecule: long non-coding RNA, 250 nt
Organism: Saccostrea echinata
Lineage: Eukaryota; Metazoa; Mollusca; Bivalvia; Ostreida; Ostreidae
Exons: 3
Source: RefSeq, a predicted model, not a curated record